This 342-nucleotide long non-coding RNA is filed under the name Capra hircus (goat). Its description in RNAcentral is "lncRNA (ENSCHIG00010014685.1)". The record is from RNAcentral. Lineage: Eukaryota; Metazoa; Chordata; Mammalia; Artiodactyla; Bovidae.
AUUUUGCAUGAUGUACUCUGCAUAUAAAUUAAAUAAGCAGAGUGAUAAUAUACAUCCGUGACAUACUUCUUUCCCAAAUUGGUAAUGUCUAAUACUGGCUACUAUUAAUAUAUCAAGAAAUUACUACGGCAUAACUGGUUUUGUAGUAAAAGCUGCCACACUUAACAGUAUGUAGCACAUUCUUUAGUUGGGUGCCAUAUCUUCUGGAUCACAGGUGAAAAGUAACCCUAGGUAAUGAAAAUGUCGGAGGUGAAACCGGGUUUUAUUAUCACUCUGAAGACCCCAAGACUCCAAGAGUAACGCACAGGAAAGAUUAGGAGAGUGUGGAGAUGGAGUCAUAUG